UGCAUGAAGUUGGAAUUGCUAGUAAUCGCGGAUCAGCAUGCCGCGGUGAAUACGUUCCCGGGGAUUGUACACACCGCCCGUCACACCAUGAGAGUCGGGAACACCCAAAGUCCGUAGUCUAACCGCAAGGAGGACGCGGCCUAAGGUGGGUUCGAUAAUUGGGGUGAAGUCGUAACAAGGUAAC
RNAcentral lists this ribosomal RNA (184 nucleotides) under uncultured bacterium. RNAcentral describes it as "partial 16S ribosomal RNA". It matches the Rfam family "Bacterial small subunit ribosomal RNA", at positions 1317 to 1500 of the family's 1533-position model. The record is from RNAcentral.